CGGGUGAGUAAUACUUGGGUAAUCUACCCUCGAGAGGGAAACAACCUGCCGAAAGGCGGGCUAAUGUCCCAUAAGACCACAGGGAUGCAUAUUCCAGGGGUCAAAGCUCCGCAAGGGGCGCUUGAGGAGGAACCCGAGUCCUAUCAUGGUAGUUGGUGAGGUAACGGCUCACCAAGCCGUUGACGGGUAGCCGGCCUGAAAGGGUGACCGGCCACACUGGCACUGAGACACGGGCCAG
RNAcentral lists this ribosomal RNA (238 nucleotides) under uncultured bacterium. Its description in RNAcentral is "partial 16S ribosomal RNA". It matches the Rfam family "Bacterial small subunit ribosomal RNA", at positions 103 to 334 of the family's 1533-position model. The record is from RNAcentral.